GCUUGUCUCAAAGAUUAAGCCAUGCAUGUCUAAGAAUAAGCCCAUAGAACGGCGAAUCUGCGAAUGGCUCAUUACAUCAGUUAUUGUUUAUUUGAUGGUACACUAUGCCUUUUAGGCAGGGCUACUUGGAUAACCGUAGUAAUUCUAGAGCUAAUACAUGCUACACUAAUCCCUUGCUGGCUCGUCCAGUGGGGGUGCAUUUAUUAGAUUCAAACCAUGGUUCGCAGCCUGUACGCACAGCGCAAGUUGUGAAUAUGGUGAGUCAUGAUAACUAAGCGAAUCGGGGGAAAACCGUACCUGCUUCACUGUGGGGGCGGCCCGAUGCUUCAUUCAAAUUUCUGCCCUAUCAGCUUUCGACGGUAGUGUAGUGGACUACCGUGGCGUUAACGGGUAACGGAGAAUUAGGGUUCGAUUCCGGAGAGGGAGCCUGAGAAAUGGCUACCACAUCCAAGGAAGGCAGCAGG
RNAcentral lists this ribosomal RNA (464 nucleotides) under uncultured fungus. RNAcentral describes it as "partial small subunit ribosomal RNA". It matches the Rfam family "Eukaryotic small subunit ribosomal RNA", at positions 30 to 432 of the family's 1831-position model. The record is from RNAcentral. Lineage: Eukaryota; Fungi.